ACUCCUACGGGAGGCAGCAGUGGGGAAUAUUGCACAAUGGGGGAAACCCUGAUGCAGCCAUGCCGCGUGUGUGAAGAAGGCCUUCGGUUGUAAGCACUUUCAGUAGGGAGGAAGGUAGUGUAGUUAACACCUGCACUAUUUGACGUUACCUACAGAAGAAGCACCGGCUAACUCCGUGCCAGCAGCCGCGGUAAUACGGAGGGUGCGAGCGUUAAUCGGAAUUACUGGGCGUAAAGCGCAUGCAGGCGGCCUGUUAAGUCAGAUGUGAAAGCCCGGGGCUUAACCUCGGAAUUGCAUUUGAAACUGGCAGGCUAGAGUCUUGUAGAGGGGGGUAGAAUUUCAGGUGUAGCGGUGAAAUGCGUAGAGAUCUG
This 371-nucleotide ribosomal RNA is filed under the name uncultured bacterium. Its description in RNAcentral is "bacterial SSU rRNA". It matches the Rfam family "Bacterial small subunit ribosomal RNA", at positions 335 to 700 of the family's 1533-position model. The record is from RNAcentral.